CGCCACCACGCCUGGCUUAUUUUGAUUUUAUUUUAUUUUAUUUUUGUAUUUUAGUAGAGACGGGGUUUCACCAUGUUGGCCAGGCUUGUCUCGAUCUCCUGACCUCAUGAUCCGCCCGCCUCGGCCUCCCAAAGUGUUGGGAUUACAGGUGUGAGCCACCGCGCCCAGCUGUAUUUCUAUCUUUGUUUACGGUUUUGUUGUUCUGCUUCCUAAUUCUUUUAUAUACUUCUCUUCCAUAAUCUUCAUAAAGAAUCCUUUAGGGCUAUUUCAUUCCAUUUCUAUAGCCAGUCCUGUGCUUACAUAGUCACUGGGCUCCUGCCCACCCCCAUCCCAGCUUCCAUCCACAAAAGGUCAAAUAAAAGAAAGGCCUCCAAGGGGGCUGGUGCCUAUCAGAGGGUCUCAGGCAACUGAACAGUUUAGGGCUAGAUGUGGUUUAAGAUAUAGCUUGAUCCAUGGCUCAAAUGGUAUGACAGAAUGGAAUCUCUCUCCAUUUGAUGACUUUGCUUCUUAAAGAACUGUCCAAUUCCUGACAUUUGUCAUGCAAAAUGCAAAAUGGCCAUUAGCAUUUUUUUUUUUUUUUGCAGCAUUUACUUCUGGGCACAAAUCUAGCCUUUCUAGCAAUGUUCUGAGAUCCACUCUGAAUGGACUGACUUCAAUUCUAUGUCCACCUGAGCCAAUCAUAUGUCACUGGGGGAAGGGGGUCAUUGAUUGGCCAGGCUAGGGUUGUAAGCUCUGCCUCUAAACUUGUGGGGCAGUCAGUUCCAGCAACAGCUUACAGAGGAGGGGCAUGGUGGUCCUUCUGAAAGGAAUGGUCAUUGCUGAGCAGCACGAUAAAAAAGGAUAGCCACUGAGCAAGCCUGUAAGGCUAUUGGUCUGCCCAUUCUGGUUUCUUCACCAAUGAGAAAACUGGGACCUGGGGAGUUUGCAGAAGCCAUCCAAGGGCACCUGCUUCUCACAGCACAGCAGCUUCCUGCAGCCCUCCCUCCUGUCUUGUUUCUCCCUUAAUUGAGAGGAGAGGCCAGAACCAGAUGCAGGCAGUUCCAACAGUAAUGAAUUGCUCUAAGGUGUGGAUCCAAGAACCGGUGACAAGGUCAGGAAAUUCCAUCCCGGGACACUGACCCAACUAAGAGACUGUGCAUGAUGGCUAAGUUCAGAGCUCUGAGGAGAUGGUAAAACUCAUUUGCAACGAAACAAGAUAUUUUCCAACUCUGCAGCCAGGUGCAGAAAGCUGGAAGUGAUGCUCCAGGGAGUUUAUGUCUCCCCAUCUUGACCCACACCAAUACCUGAGGCUCGUUGCUUUGAUUCAAGUCCGGACAAGCUCUAAGGUUCAGCUCACACUGGGAGUCACGCUGCAGGUGCAAGCAAGAAUGGGGCUUGAAUCACACCCCUACUUGAUUUCUCCGUCUCCCUCCUCCUUCCUACUUCUCCCAGGAGCACCAUAGAAAAUUCCUGGAGCUCCUGGGAGUCUGUGAACGGUGGUGAUGCAGAAAAGCAAAGCGUGUAUAUCUGUUUUAGUCCUCCCUCAGAUCUGCUGAGGACACCUUGAGCCUGAAGUGAAAUCACAGUGGCUCUCAGGAAGAAGGGUGACUGUCUGGUGUGCAGUUGUGCUGCCACGGCAAAGGGAACUUUAAAACAUAGAACUGCCAUGUAGAAGCUCAGGAAAUAUCCAUGGUCUGUCAUCUCUUUUGGUCAUAGAAUCAAAAAAAAUGGAAGACGAGAAAAGGCAGUGAAGACUGACAGCCUGUUGGUUGCUAUUCCAGUCGUGUCUGCUCCAUACGCGCCCUCCAUCUCAUCCCACCCAGUCAGUAUAUUUUCACCAGGCAGUGUUGCAGAAAUGUCUGUGGACUCCAGUUCUAUUGCAGUCAGGCAGCAUUUACAGGUUUGACUUUCAACUGACCAUGGCAGGAAGUCUAGAGGCAAUUAUAGCCAACACCUGCUCUAUGUGCGUGCCGGGCAGGUGGUGGCUGAUUCCUUGCCUCCAAUCCAUGAUGUGUUUCCUAUCAGCUCAGAAUAAUAACAGUGACACCUCUGCUUCUUCUCUGUCUGGGGGAGCUCAAGGCACUUUACUCUGAAAACCCUCAAAUUACUGGCAUUUCUUUUAGUGAAGAUAUCAAAUUAAUGACUGAAAAAAAUGUAGAAGAUGGUUAUUGGUGAUGUUAAAAGACAAGUUUAACCCACUUCCACACAACAUGUCUUACAAGCGUAAAGUAUUUGAGUAGAGAAAACUAUGAAUCUAAAAUUGAACAAGAUGUGAAUUUAGACAGACAGCGUUUGUGGUCACAGAUGUGCCGAGAUGAAGACUGGAGGAAGGGCACAGUUUCUGUAGCAGUGACUUCCACCCAGGGUGUGUCUUGCUAUUGUGUGAAAUGAUUUUUGACACUGGACAAAUCUCUACUUCCACUUACAAUGUUUUGCCAGCUAGCUGAGGCAUUCUGGGAGGGUGAGGAGCCUGGGCUUGGGCUGACCUCAGGAAAUCCUGUGUAAAGGGCUUUUGCACACUCAGAAGCAGGCCAGGUUCACCGCUGUUAUGUGCAAUAUUCACUCCUGGCUCUUGCUUCUGAGCCUUGGCAAACCUGAGUCCUAAGAGGCCAAUGAAAAGGAAAACACGUUAAGGAGCCAGGGCGCUUCUUGGAUAUCAGCCUGAAUAGUUCUGUUUCAUCUGGACCCCAAUUUUACUCUCCUGCUGUUUUACACGGAACUAAAAAGAGCUUUACAGAGGACCAGAUAGACUGCAGGUCCCUAGGCAGUCAGGGGCCAGGCAAGGCAUAGGAGGGUGUCAGGCCUCUGAGCUCAAACUAGGCCAUCAUAUCCCCUGUGACCUGCACGUACACAUCCAGAUGGCUGGUUCCUGCCUUAACUGAUGGCAUUGUCUUGUGAAAUUCCUUCUCCUGGCUCAUCCUGGCUCAAGAGCUCCCCUACUGAGCACGUUGUGACCCCCACUCCUGCCUGCCAGAGAACAACCCCCCUUUGACUGUAAUUUUCCUUUACCUACCCAAAUCCUAUAAAAUGGCCCCACCCCUAUCUCCCUUCACUAACUCUCUUUUCGGACUCAGCCUGCCUGCACCCAGGUGAAAUAAACAGCCUUGUUGCUCACACAAAGCCUGUUUGGUGGUCUCUUCACAGGGACUCGCAUGAAAUUUGGUGCUGUGGCUCGGAUAGGGGGACCUCCCUCGGGAGAUCAAUCCCCUGUCCUCCUGCUCUUUGCUCCAUGAGAAAGAUCCACCUACGACCUCAGGUCCUCAGACCAAGCAGCCCAAGAAACAUCUCACCAAUUUCAAAUCUGGAAAGCAGCCUCUUUUUACUCUCUUCUCCAACCUCCCUCAAUAUCCCUCAACCUCUUUCUCUUUUCAAUCUUGGUGCCACACUUCAAUCUCUCCCUUCUCUUAAUUUCAAUUCGUUUCAUUUUCUGGUAGAGACAAAGGAGACACGUUUUAUCUGUGGACCCAAAACUCCGGCGCCGGUCACGGCCUGGGAAGGCAGCCUUCCCUUGGUGUUAAUCAUUGCAGGGAUGCCUCUCUGAUUAUUCACCCACGUUUCAGAGGUGUCGGACCACACAGGGACGCCUGCCUUGGUCCUUCACCCUUAGUGGCAAGUCCUGCUUUUCUGGGGGAGGGGCAAGAACCCCAACCCCUUCUCUCCAUGUCUCUACCUCUUCUCUGCUUUUCUGGGGGAGGGGCAAGAACCCCUCAACCCCUUCUCCUUCACCCUUAAUGGCAAGUCCCACUUUUCUGGGGGAGGGGCAAGAACCCCUCAACAUCUUGUCCUUCACUGUUAGCAGCAAGUCUCACUUUUCUGGGGGAGGGGCAAGAACCCCUCAAACCCUUGUCCUUCACCGUCAGCAGCAAGUCCCGCUUUUCUGGGAGAGGGGCAAGAACCUCUCAACCCCUUCUCCUUCACCCUUAGAGGCAAGUCCCGCUUUUCUGGGGGAGAGGCAAGAACCCCUUAUUUCCACAGCCCGACCUCUUAUCUCUGUGCCCUGAUCCCUUAUUUCUGUGCCCUGACCUCUUAUCUCUGCACCCCAACCCCUUAUUUCUGCACCCCCACCUCUUUCCCACUUUUCUGGAGGGUAAGAACCCCCGAACCCCUUCCCUCCAUGUCUCUACUCUCUCUUUUCUCUAGCCUUGCUUCCUUCACUAUGGGCAACCUUCCACCCUCCAUUCCUCCUUCUUCUCCCUUAGCCUGUGUUCUCAAGAACUUAAAACCUCUUCAACUCACACCUGACCUAAAACCUAAAUGCCUUAUUUUCUUCUGCAAUGCCGCUUGAUCCCAAUACAAACUUGGCAGUAGUUCCGAAUAGCCGGAAAACAGCACUUUCAAUUUUUCCAUCCUACAAGAUCUAAAUAAUUCUUGUCGUAAAAUAGGCAAACAGUCUGAGGUGCUGACGUCCAGGCAUUCUUUUACACAUUGGUCCCUCCCUAGUCUCUGUUCCCAAUGCAACUCGUCCCAAAUCUUCCUUCUUUCCCUCCCACCUGUCCCCUCAGUCCCAACCCCAAGUGUCGCUGAGUCUUUCUAAUCUUCCUUUUCUACAGACCCAUCUGACCUCUCCCCUCCUCUCCAGGCUGAGCUAGGUCCCAAUUCCUCCUCAGCUUCCGCUCCUCCACCCUGUAAUCCUUUUAUCACCUCGCCUCCUCACACCCAGUCCGGCUUACAGUUUCGUUCCUUGACUAGCCCUCCCCCACCUGCCCAGCAAUUUACUCUUAAAAAGGUGGAUGGAGCUAAAAGCAUAGUCAAGGUUAAUGCUCCUUUUUCUUUAUCCCAAAUCAGACAGCGUUUAGGCUCUUUUUCAUCAAAUAUAAAAAUCCAGCCCAGUUCAUGGCUCGUUUGGCAGCAACCCUGAAAUGCUUUACAGCCCUAGACCCUAAAAGGUCAAAAGGCCAUCUUAUUCUCAAUAUACAUUUUAUUACCCAAUCUGCUCCCGACAUUAAAUAAAACUUCAAAGAUUAAAUUCCAGCCCUCAAACCCCACAACAGGAUUUAAUUAACCUUGCCUUCAAGGUGUACAAUAAUAGAGUAGAGGCAGCCAAGUAGUAACAUAUUUCUGAGUUGCAAUUCCUUGUCUCCACCAUGAGACAAACCCCAGCCACAUCUCCAGCACACAAGAAUUUCCAAAUGCCUAAACCGCAGUGGCCAGGCAUUCCUCCAGCACCACCUCCCCCAGAAGCUUGCUACAAGUGCCAGAAAUCUGGCCACCAGGCCAAGGAAUGCCCGCAGCCCGGGAUUCCUCCUAAGCCAUGUCCCAUCUGUGGGGGACCCCACUGGAAAUCGGACUGUUCAACUCACCUGGCAGCCACUCCCAGAGCCCCUGGAACUCUGGCCCAAGGCUGUCUGACUGACUUCUUCCCAGAUCUUCUCGGCUUAGUGGCUGAAGACUGACAUGCCCGAUCGCCUCAGAAGCCCGAUAGACCAUCAUGGAUGCCGAGCUUUAGGAUUCUAAAGACCAUUUCCACAUGGAGAAGCUGCCAGAACAAGCACUGCUACCCUUGGAGGCCAUUGACAUUGUGAGGUCGCUGGGACUGAAAGGAGGUUGACCAGAAGUUCUGUUUGGCAAUGCAAAGCCAGGAGGAAAAGUUAAUGGAGUUUGUCCCCCGGGUCCCAAGAAAGCUGACCCAGGACGAUGAAGCUAGAAUUUGUGUUCUAGGAGGUGCUGCUUCUUCCAGGAAAGUCUACUCAAAGCACACACUUUUCCACAACUUUGUUAUCAGGCUGUGACAGAGGUUUGUGAACUGAUGAAAGCUCCAGAGCCUCCCAGGCCCUCUGAGUCUGAUGCCUGCACUCCACAAUCAGGCCUCAAGCUCAGGGCGCCUGCCACCAACCCACGCUGGGCUUCAGGGGCAGGCAGCACUUGAAUGGGGUUUGGUUAUUGUCUUUCUUUAUUUUCUCUUAUUUUAAGCCUUAAAAAAAAAAAGAUAAGGUCUUGCUCUAUUGCCCAGGCUGGAGAGAAAUGGUGUGAUCAUAGCUCACUGCAGCUUUGAAUUCCUGGGUUCAACCGAUCCUCCCACCUAAGCCUCCCGAGUAACCAGGACUGCAAGUAUGCACCACCACACCCAGUUAAUUAAAUUUGUGUGUGUGUGUGUGUGUAGAGGUGGGUUCUUGCUUUGUUGCCCAGGCUGGUCUUGAACUCUUGAGUUCAGACAAUCCUGCCACCUCAACCUCACAAAGUGCUGGAAUUACAGGCGUGAGCCACUGCACUCAGCCUCCUUAAGCCAUUUGCUUAAGUGGCUUUAUUGCAAAACAAUAUCAGAAUAACAAAGAAAUAUAAGGUCAAACUUUCCCUGUUCCCAUCUAGUCCAAUAAGCAUUGCUGCUCUUGCCAGGGAUUCUCGCCCAUCUCCAUGUGCCAGUGCAAUCCAUACUGGUUGUUCUCCUUGGCUACCCCACAUCUGAGUCUCUGCCUUGUCUGCAUUCUUCCCCACUUUAUGAAGAGAUGAGUCAGUGCCUGAUUUUUUCUGCCUCUCUUGUCACUAGGGCACAGCCAUGUGCAUGGGCCCUGUCACUCAGAAGCCCCCAUCCACCAACAACAUGGCUCUGGGGGCCUCCUCUCUCUGGAAGAAUUGGCAGUUUUAGCAAGAAAGGUUUUCAGAGGCAGCAAUGAUGGUGGAGAUGUCCAGGGCCAGUGGCAGGUCAAACCAUUCUCUGUGUCAUUUGGGGCAGUGUUUAUGCUGUCCCUCAUUUUGGUUCCCUAAGCCUCCGAACAUGUACGUGAAUUUCCGAAUAUUCUCAAUUAAAUUGUUUUUCUGUUGAAAUUGGCCUGGUUGCUUUCAACUAUGACAAACCUAGCUAUAUAAGUAUUAUUUUGUAGUGUUGGGAUUGAUAGAACUUUAUGUUCUACACAUUAGCAGAAUACCAUGUGUAUUUUUCCAUUUGACAUAAUCUUUUAUCUUUCCAUUGAUAAGUAUUAUUACUAUUUAGUGAUAUAUUAUUUGAGUUCUCUUGCCCCUUUUGGGUAGCCCAUGUUAACAGUAAUACCCAGCUGCUACACUGAGAGCCUCUGAGACUUACUGGCUUCAGGGGAGACAGCACAUUAUCAGCUGUGGUGGCCAUGGCCGAGACUCCUUUUGCCUGAGAAAAGCAGAGGAAAAUGUAGAAGGGACUUCGUCUUGCAUCUGAGACACCAGCACAGCCACAGGGUGGUAGAGCACCAAGGGGGCUUUUGGAAUCUUUGAUUCUGGGAUGUGGCUCUUGGAAGGCAUUUCUGGACUUGCCCUGGGCCAGGGGGAGCCCACUGUCUUAAAGGGUGAGUCCCAGGCCAGGCAGCAUUUGCCACAGUCGACUGAAGAGCCCUGGGGGCCUUCAAGGGACAUAGAAGGUAAUCUGAAAGUACUCCGCAUAGGCCUGUGGGGUGGUGGCCAUGGGGCAAGGCUGCCCUGCCUCUGGAAAGGGUAGGAGAGAGUGAGAAAGACUGCAUCCUGUUGUCCGAGUGCCAGCUCAGCCACAGUACAAUAGAACACCAGCUAGGCUCCCAGCCAGCACCUCUGGACCAGCCUGGAAACUGGGGGUAACUCAUCGCCCUGAAGGGAAGGACAAAGGCCUGGCUGGCUUUGCCGUCUGCUGAUUGUUGAGCCCUAGGCGGGGAGCGGUUACAGUCGGCCUUGGGUGAGACUCAGAGCUGCACUGGCUUCAGGUCUGACUCAGCACAGUCACAGUGAUGGUGGCCACAGGGGUGCUUAUGUCACUCUAUCCCAGCUUUAGGUGGCUCAGAACAGACACACUCCAUUUCUUUGGGAGAAAGUAAGAAAGAGAACAAGAGUCUCUCUGAUAAUCCAGAGAGUUCUCCCAGAUCUUGUCCAAGAUCAUCAAGGCAAUACCACUGAGUCUGCAAAAACUGCAGUGUUACUGGGCUUGGGGUGCCCCCUAAAACAGAUACAACUUAGAUCACAACACCCAUGGCCUUUUAAAUAUGUGAAAAGCCUUCCCAAGAAGGACGGGUACAAACAAGCCCAGAUAGCAAAGGCUACAAUAAAUACCUAACUCUUCAAUUCCAGACACAAAUGGACACCUACAAGUAUCAAGACAUUCCAGGAAAAAAAUGACCUCACCAAAUGAACUAAAUAAAGCAUCAGGGACCCAUCCUGAAGAAACAGAUACGUGACCUUUUAGACAGAGAAUACAAAAUAGCCACUCUGAGGAAACUCAAAGAAAUUCAAGAUAACACAGAGAAGGAAUUCAGAAUUCUAUCAGAUAAAUUUAACAAAGAGAUUGAAAUCAUUCAAAAUGAUCAAACAGAUACUGUGGAGAUAAAAAAUGGAAUUGGCAUACUAAAGAAUGCAUCAGAGUCUUAAUAAUAGAAUUAAUCAAGUAGAAGAAAGAAUUAGCUUGAAGACAGGCUAUUUCAAAAUACACAGUUAGAGGACUCAAAAGAAAAUAGAAUAAAAAAUAAUGAAGCAUGUCAAAGAAUCUAGAAAAUAGCCUCAAAAGGACAAAUCUAAGAGUUAUUGGCCUUAAAGGGGAGACAAAGAAAGAGAUAAGGGUAGAAUGUUUAUUCAAAGGGAUAAUAACAGAGACUUUUCGAAACCCGGAUAAUAAUAUCAAUAUCCAAGUACAAGAAAACAGAACACCAAGCAGAUUAAAUCCAAAGAAGACUGCCUCAAGGCAUUUAAUAAUCAAAUUCUAAAGAUCAAGGGUAAAGAAAGGAUCCUAAAAGUAACAAGGGAGAAGAAACAGAUAACAUACAAUGGAUCUCCAGUAUGUCUUGCAGUGGACUUUUCAGUGGAAACCUUAAAGUCCAGGAGAGAGUGGCACAACACAUUUAAAGUGCUGAAAGAAAGAAACUUUUACCCUAGAAUAGUAUAUCCAGCAAAAAUAUUCUUCUAACAUGAAGAAAAAAUAAAGACUUUCCCAGGCAAACAAAAGCUGAGGGAUUUUAUCAGCACUAGACCUGUCUUAUGAGAAAUGCCAAAGGGAGUACUUCAAUCAGAAAGAAAAGGAUGUUAGUAAGUAAUCAUGCGAAAGUACAAAAUUCAUGGGUAAUAGUAAGCACACAGAAAAACACAGAAUUUUAUAUCCCUGUAACUGUGAUGUGUAAACUACUAUUAUUCUAAGUAGAAAAACUAAAUGAUGAACCAAUCAAAAAUAAUAACUAUAACAAUUUUUCAAGCCAUAGACAGUACUAUAAGAUAUAAAUAGAAACAACAAAAAGUUUAAAAUCAGGACAAAGUUAAGACGUAGAGUUUUUAUUAGUUUCCUUUUUUUUUGCUUCUUUGUUUCUUUGUUUAUGCAAACAAUGUUAAGUUGUUAUCAGCUUAAAGUAACAGGUCAUAAAGAAGCCAGUCAUGGUGUCUCACACUUGUAAUGCCAGCACUUUGAGAGUCCAAGGUGGGUGGAUCACUUGAGGUCAGAAGUUUGAGACCAGCCUGGCCAAUAUGGCGAAACCCCAUCGCUACUAAAAAUACAAAAAUUAGCCAGGUAUGGUGGCACAUGCCUGUAAUCCCAGCUACUCAGGAGGCUGAGGCAUGAGAACCCAGAAUGUGGAGGUUGAAGUAAGCCAAGAUCACACCACUGUACUCCAGCUUGGAUGACAGAGCAAGACUCUGUUUCAGAAGGAAAAAAAAAAGUCAUAAGAUAGUAUUUGCAAGCCUCAUAGUGACCUCAAACCAUAAAAACAUACAAUGAAUACACAAAAAGUAAAAAGCUAGAAACUAAAUCAUAUUACUAGAGAAAAAUCACUUUCACUAAAGGAAGGAAAGAAAGAAGGCAGAGAACAUCACAGAACAACUAGAAAACAAGUUAACACAAUGGCGGGAGUAAGUUCUUACUUAUCAAUAUUAACAUUGAUUGUAAAUAAGAACACCAAUAAAAUGAAAGAUUACAUCAAGUUAAAAAGUUAAAAAGCUUCUGCACAGCAAAGGAAACAGUCAAUAAAGUGGUAACCCCGCAGAGUGGGCAAAAAAUAUUUGCAAACUACCCAUGUGACAAGGGAUUAAUAACCAGAAUAUAUAAGGAGCUCAAACAACUCUAGAGAAAAACAAAUCUAAUAAUCUGAUCAAAAAAUAGGCAAGAUAUUUGAAUAGACAUUUCUCAAAAAAGACAUACAAAUGGCAAACAGUCAUAUGAAAAGGUGCUCAACAUCAUUGAUCAUCAGAACAAUGCAAAUAAAAACUACAAUGAAAUGUCAUCUCAUCCCUGUUAAAAUCGAUUGUAUCCAAAAGACAGGCAAAAACAAAUGCUGGUGAAAUGUGGAGAAAAGGGAACCCUCAUACACUGUUGGUGGGAAUGUAAGUUAGCCCAACCACUAUGAAUAGUGGUUUGAAGGUUCCUCAAAAAGCUAAAUAUGGAGCUACCAUAUGGUUCAGCCAUCCCACUGCUGGGUAUAGACCCAAAAGAAAGGAAAUCAGUAUAUUGAAGAGAUGUCUGCACUCCCGUGUUUGUUUCAGCACUGUUCACAGUAGCAAAGAUUUUGAAACAACCCAAGUGUCCCUCAAUAGAUGAAUAGAUAAACGAAAUGUGGUGCUUUUACACAAUGGAGUACUGUUCAGCCAUAAAAAUGAAUGAGAUCCUGUUCUUUACAACAACAUGGGUGGAAAUGAAGAUCAUUAUAUUAAGUGAUAUAAGCCAGACACAGAAAGACAAACAUUACAUCUUCUCAUGUACUUAUGGGAUCUGAAGAUCAAAAUAAUUGAACUCCAUGGACAUAGAGAGUAGAAGAAUGGUUACCAUAGGCUGGGAUUAGUAGUGGGACAGGUGGGGCAGGGGGCAGGUUAGGACAGGUAAUAGGUACAAAAAUAAUAGGAAGAAUGAAUAAGACCUACUAUUUGUUAGCAUAAAAUGGUACUUGUAAUCAAUUACACUUAAUUAUAUGUUUUAAAAUAACUCAAAGAGUAUAAUUGGAUUCUUUGUAACACAAAGAAUAAAUGUUUGAGGAGAUGGAUACCCUAUUCAGCAUGAUGUGUUAUUAUGCAUUGCAGGCCUGUAUCAAAGCAUUUCAAGUACGCUAUAGAUAUAUACACCUACUAUGUACUCACAAAAAUUAACAAAUUAAAAAAUUAAAGAAAACAGAGUGAGAAUGGGAUGGUGAGCAGGUGGUAUAAGGUAUAUGAUAUUGGUGUUCAGACUGUUAUCCAAAACCCUAAGAAUAGGCCAGGUGCGGUGGCUCACACCUGUAAUCCCAGCACUUUGCGAGGCUGAGGCGGGUAGAUCAUGUGGUGAGGAGUUCAAGACCAGCCUGGCCAAGAUGGUAAAACCCUGUCUCUAGUAAAAAUACAAAAAUUAGCCAGGCAUGGUGGUGGGCGCCUGUAAUCCCAGCUACUUAGGAGGCUGAGGCAGAGAAUUGCUUGAACCCAGGAGGCAGAGGUUGCAGUGAGCUGAGAUCAUGCCACUGCACUCCAGCCUGGGCAACAGAGCGAGACUCUGUCUCAAAAAAAAAAGGCAAAAAAAACAAAA
This 11374-nucleotide long non-coding RNA is filed under the name Homo sapiens (human). RNAcentral describes it as "HSALNT0257900". Lineage: Eukaryota; Metazoa; Chordata; Mammalia; Primates; Hominidae. The record is from RNAcentral.